GGUUUUCAUCCAGGUGCGUAUGUUUUCCUUUUUGUUUCCUAUUUUUUCUUUUUUCCUUAUUUUAUCUUCUUUUCUUUUUCUUUAUUAUUUUUUCCCUCUCAUUCGCUGUUGUCUAGUUUUCUUUUUUUUCUUUUUCUUUAUGUUUCUUUUCCUUUUUUCUUGGUAUUUUUAUUUUCUUUAUUUUUUUGUUUCUGUUCUUUUUUUUUCUUAUUUUCUUUUUAUAGCUUCAAUUUGAUUUUACUUUUACUUUUUUUGUUUAUCUUAUUUUUAUUUUACUAUGUUUAUUUUAUCUUUAUUUUUUACUUUUUUAUUUUCUUUAUUUAUUUUUCUAUUCCUUUUUCUGCUUCAAUUUAUUUAUUUUGUUUUAUUUUCUUAUUACUUUCUAUUUCCUUUCUUCAUUAUUAUUUUUUUGUUUUAUUUACCAACACAUUAAUAUAGCGUUAGUUAUGAAGGUAUUUAUUGGAUCGUUUUUUUGCGGUAUGCAUGCGGUGGAAGCACAACAAAUGCCUCUGGAUGAUCCUGUUGGGUAGUAGUUGUUCAAUCCUUUUAGUAGACUGAUAUUUGUUACAUAUAGAAAAAAACUAAAAAAUCUACAUACAAGCGCGUGGAUCGAUAUUAUUUUUUGUAUUUAUUUCAUUCAAUUUAUUAUUAUUAUUCUUUAUUUAUACUAUAUUUAGCCCUUGUGUCUCCACAAACUGUUGUUGCCGUCUCGCGACCGUCGUCCACGGGCGAUGGGCUAACCUAUGUUUUUCGGCGUAUGGGCGAAGUGCCAUUUUCUUUUUUUGGUUUUUCUUUUCUUUUUGUGCUUCAUUUAUUUUUUCUUUUUAUUUCCUUUUUGUGCUUAAUUUAUUUUUUAUUUUUUUUGUUUUAUGUGUUUUUAUUAUUCUUUUCAUUUUUUAAAUUGUUUAUCUUUAUUUUUUCUUUUGCUUUUUAUUUUCUUUCCUUUCCUUUUCUUAUUAUUUUUCUUUCCUUGCUUCAAUUUAUUAUUUUUGUUUCAUGUGAUUUUUUUUAUGUUUUCAUAUUUCUUUUUUUGUUUACUUCAUUUAAUUUUGUUUUUAUGUUUAUUCUUUUUUCUCUCUUUUUCUUUUUCUCUUUUUACUUAAUGUUUUCUAUAGUUUUUCCUUUUCAUUUAUUUUAUAUUUUCAUGCUUCACUAUUUUUUUGUUUUAUGUUUUUUAAUACUCUUUUAACUUUUUAUAUUUUAUGUUUCUUUUAUUUUUUUUAUUUUCUUAUUAUUUUGAUGCUCGCAUGUUGUGCAUGUAAUGUUCUUUGUUUCUUUACUAAUAAUUAUAAACGAGAUGUUCUAUGGUGUUUUUUAUGUUCACAUACUAAACAUAUAAUACUGUGGUAUGUAUUUAGUGAUAUUCACGUAAUAUAUAUGCGAUGUUCUAUAUUGUAUUUAGUAAUGUUCUAUGAUAUAUCUAGUGAUGUUCACUUAAUAUAUAUGCGAUGUUCUUAUUGUAUUUAGUAAUGUUCUAUGAUAUAUCUAGUGAUGUUCACUUAAUAUACAUUUUAUUUUCUAUGAUGUAUUUAGUAAUGUUCACAUAAUAUAUGUGAUGUUCUAUAUUUUAUUUAGUAAUGUUCUAUGAUAUAUUUAGUGAUGUUCACUUACUACACAUAUGUUGUUAUGUGAUGUAUUUUAUUAGUGUUCACAUAAUAUAUAUGUGAUGUUCUAUAAUGCAUUAAAUGAUGUUCUAUGGUAUUUCUAACAAUGUUCGUUUAGUAUACAUGUGGUGUUCUAUAGCAUAUUUUUAGAAUGUUUAAAAAGCAUCUAUGUGAUAUUCUUUUAAUUUUUUUCUAUAACAUGUUUUAUUUUUUUGUCUUAUGUUUUUGCUCUACAUUUUAUUAUUUUUAUUUAUGUUAUUAUAUAUUUAUUUUUAUGUAUAUUAUAAUACCAGUUUUAUGAACGAACACUCUUCUUACAAAGAUAGAACAUUAUUUUUUUGAACUUAGAACAUCAUUUCUGAUAAAUAAAUAAAAAUGUUCUAUCUUUAUAAAAUAAAUGUUCGUUAAAAAAAGUUAUCUAAAUAUAUUCAUGUGAGAUCUUGUUUUGAAGGAUUUAUUGUAAGGAACUCGAUGGUAAAAUCGAAAUUUAAUUUUAAUAUUUGGUUUAGUAGUUAUGACUUUUUUUUUGUUUCGUUAAAAAUCACGUGCAUGAGCUGAAGGCUGAAUUGAUUGUGGUGGGCCAGCUAGAUAUGACAACUUUAGCUUUAUGCAUGCUACCUCUGUCUACCGUAGGCUACCUCUGCCAGCUGCUAAUUAAAUUUGCAUGUGAUACAAGGGGCGGGAAAAAUAGGCGGGAAGCUGCCGGACGGUGGCCCCGGUCCGAAUGGGCGGACUGUAGCAGCCCCCGUCCGUCCGUGGCAGGGUACGUGACGGCACUCUCGCUUUCUAGUUAGCCCACGCGCGCCGCCGGUUGCCAGUGGCCUGCACGCAUACGUCGGCCGAUUGGCGAUUGCCGUGGCGGUGUGGCAUGAUCCAGGUCUCCGCGUGUGGUUCUGCCUCGAUCGGCUUCGCCACACAUGCUAGGCAGUUGGCAGGGCAAAAAAGGUAAGAAACACUAAUUAUAAUUGAAGGUAUGUAGAAACAAAAAAAAUGUUUCUUAGGAAAAACUAAACAAAGACUAUUUUUUUUUUUCAAGAAACUACGUACAUCCCAAUUCCCUAUCAAACAAGAACUAAUUAGAAUGAAGGCACAGGAAGGUUGAUGCAAAUGGGGAAAACUGUGAAUAUGGAAAAAAACAUGUAGAAUUGUUGGUAAUUAAAUUUAUCAUGACUCAAUACACAAACUAUUUAGUCGUUCUUGUUUGAUAGGG
This 2814-nucleotide long non-coding RNA is filed under the name Sorghum bicolor (sorghum). Its description in RNAcentral is "long non-coding RNA (SBIC_LNC000235)". The record is from RNAcentral. Lineage: Eukaryota; Viridiplantae; Streptophyta; Magnoliopsida; Poales; Poaceae.